UACGGAGGGUGCAAGCGUUAAUCGGAAUUACUGGGCGUAAAGCGCACGCAGGCGGUCUUUUAAGUCAGAUGUGAAAGCCCCGAGCUUAACUUGGGAAUUGCAUUUGAUACUGGUUGUCUAGAGUCCUGUAGAGGGGGGUAGAAUUCCAUGUGUAGCGGUGAAAUGCGUAGAGAUGUGGAGGAAUACCGGAGGCGAAGGCGGCCCCCUGGACAAGUACUGACGCUCAGGUGCGAAAGCGUGGGGAGCAAACAGG
RNAcentral lists this ribosomal RNA (253 nucleotides) under uncultured bacterium. RNAcentral describes it as "partial 16S ribosomal RNA". It matches the Rfam family "Bacterial small subunit ribosomal RNA", at positions 524 to 776 of the family's 1533-position model. The record is from RNAcentral.